This 254-nucleotide ribosomal RNA is filed under the name uncultured bacterium. Its description in RNAcentral is "partial 16S ribosomal RNA". It matches the Rfam family "Bacterial small subunit ribosomal RNA", at positions 524 to 776 of the family's 1533-position model. The record is from RNAcentral.
UACGUAGGGUGCAAGCGUUGUCCGGAAUUAUUGGGCGUAAAGAGCUCGUAGGCGGUUUGUUGCGUCGGCUGUGAAAUCCCGAGGCUCAACCUCGGGCCUGCAGUCGAUACGAGCAAACUAGAGUGUUGCAGGGGAGACUGGAAUUCCUGGUGUAGCGGUGAAAUGCGCAGAUAUCAGGAGGAACACCGGUGGCGAAGGCGGGUCUCUGGGCAACAACUGACGCUGGAGGAGCGAAAGCGUGGGGAGCGAACAGG